RNAcentral lists this ribosomal RNA (513 nucleotides) under Triticum aestivum (bread wheat). Its description in RNAcentral is "partial small subunit ribosomal RNA". The record is from RNAcentral. Lineage: Eukaryota; Viridiplantae; Streptophyta; Magnoliopsida; Poales; Poaceae.
GAUUUCAGCAAGCUCAACCAAGCCCUUCUGACCCUGCUUCCCAAGCGUGCCGACGCCAGCGAGCUGUGCGACUAUCGCUUGAUUUGUUUGAUACAUCUCGUGGCCAAAAUAUUCGCAAAGGUGCUAUCGCUCCGACUAGCCCCCAGACUUGGCAGCUUGGUCAGUCGCAAUCAAAAUGCGUUCAUCCCUGCCAGGAGUCUCCACGACAAUUUUGUUCUGGUCAGGCAAUCGCUGAAACUGUUGCAUCAACUCAAGGCCCUGCGGAUCAUGCUUAAACUAGACCUCACACGGGCCUUUGAUUCCAUAUUGUGGCCGCCAUAUCGUGGCCGUUCCUCUUCGAGGUUCUUGGUCAACACGGCUUUGGCCUCGAUUCAGGGAGUGGAUGGCCAUCCUCCUCACAACGGCCAACACCCGUGUCAUGAUCAACAGCGAACCCGGCCCACCAAUCUGGCUCCGAUGCGGUCUGCGCCAGGGAGAUCCCGUGUCUCCGCAGCUUUUUGUGCUCAUGGUUGA